UACAGAGGGUGCAAGCGUUAAUCGGAAUGACUGGGCGUAAAGGGCAUGUAGGUGGACCUAUAAGUUAGAUGUGAAAUCCCUGGGCUUAACCUAGGAAGGUCAUCUAAUACUGUAGGACUAGAGUACGGGAGAGGGAAGUGGAAUUUCAGGUGUAGCGGUGAAAUGCGUAGAUAUCUGAAGGAACACCAGUGGCGAAGGCGGCUUCCUGGUCUGAUACUGACACUGAGGUGCGAAAGCGUGGGGAGCGAACAGG
This 253-nucleotide ribosomal RNA is filed under the name uncultured bacterium. RNAcentral's name for it is "partial 16S ribosomal RNA". It matches the Rfam family "Bacterial small subunit ribosomal RNA", at positions 524 to 776 of the family's 1533-position model. The record is from RNAcentral.